GAUGAACGCUGGCGGCGUGCUUAACACAUGCAAGUCGAACGGAAAGGCGCAAGCUUGCUUGGGUACUCGAGUGGCGCACGGGUGAGUAACACGUGGGUGAGCUGCCCUGCACUUCGGGAUGUGCCUGGGCAACUGGGUCUAAUACAGGCUAGGACCACUUCUUGGAGGUUGUUGUGGGAAGUUCUUUCGGUGUGGGAUGAGCUUGCGGCCUAUCAGCUUGUUGGUGGGGUAAUGGCCUAACAAGGCUUAGACGGGGAGCCGGCCUGAGGGGGUGUACGGCCGCAUUGGGACUGUGCGAGGGGCCAGACUCGUACGGGUUGCAGCAGUGGCGAAUAUCUGACAAUGGGCGCAAGCGUGAUUCAGCGAGGUCUUGUGGGGGAUGACGGCCUUCGGGUUGGAAACACCGUUCGCUAGGGACGACGCGUUUUUGUGACGGUACCUGCAGAAGAAGCACCGGCUAACUACGUG
This 468-nucleotide ribosomal RNA is filed under the name uncultured bacterium. RNAcentral describes it as "partial 16S ribosomal RNA". It matches the Rfam family "Bacterial small subunit ribosomal RNA", at positions 28 to 507 of the family's 1533-position model. The record is from RNAcentral.